Molecule: ribosomal RNA, 247 nt
Filed under: Salmonella enterica subsp. enterica serovar Schwarzengrund
Lineage: Bacteria; Pseudomonadati; Pseudomonadota; Gammaproteobacteria; Enterobacterales; Enterobacteriaceae
Description: partial 23S ribosomal RNA
Rfam family: Bacterial large subunit ribosomal RNA
Source: RNAcentral
UACGUACAAGCAGUGGGAGCCCCACCACUAAGCCAGUGGUGAACUCCACAUACGCAUCCUUUGCUGAGGAUACGGUUAACGGAGCGAAAGCGACGUUCAACCUCAAAAGAAGCAGAGGGGGCUUAGUGGUGGGGUGACUGCGUACCUUUUGUAUAAUGGGUCAGCGACUUAUAUUCUGUAGCAAGGUUAACCGAAUAGGGGAGCCGGAGGGAAACCGAGUCUUAACCGGGCGUUAAGUUGCAGGGUA